RNAcentral lists this ribosomal RNA (253 nucleotides) under uncultured bacterium. RNAcentral's name for it is "partial 16S ribosomal RNA". It matches the Rfam family "Bacterial small subunit ribosomal RNA", at positions 524 to 776 of the family's 1533-position model. The record is from RNAcentral.
UACGGGGGGGGCAAGCGUUGUUCGGAAUUACUGGGCGUAAAGGGUUCGUAGGUGGCUCGCUAAGUCAGACGUGAAAUCCCUCAGCUUAACUGGGGAACUGCGUCUGAGACUGGCAAGCUCGAGUGCAGGAGAGGAACGCGGAAUUCCAGGUGUAGCGAUGAAAUGCGUAGAUAUCUGGAGGAAUACCGGUGGCGAAGGCGGCAUCCUGGACCGGCAUUGACGCUGAGGAGCGAAAGCUAGGGGAGCAAACGGG